Molecule: ribosomal RNA, 566 nt
Filed under: uncultured bacterium
Lineage: Bacteria
Description: partial 16S ribosomal RNA
Rfam family: Bacterial small subunit ribosomal RNA
Source: RNAcentral
UGGGGAAUUUUGGACAAUGGGCGAAAGCCUGAUCCAGCAAUGCCGCGUGUGUGAAGAAGGCCUUCGGGUUGUAAAGCACUUUUGUCCGGAAAGGAAUCCUUGGCUCUAAUACAGUCGGGGGAUGACGGUACCGGAAGAAUAAGCACCGGCUAACUACGUGCCAGCAGCCGCGGUAAUACGUAGGGUGCAAGCGUUAAUCGGAAUUACUGGGCGUAAAGCGUGCGCAGGCGGUUUGCUAAGACCGAUGUGAAAUCCCCGGGCUCAACCUGGGAACUGCAUUGGUGACUGGCAGGCUAGAGUAUGGCAGAGGGGGGUAGAAUUCCACGUGUAGCAGUGAAAUGCGUAGAGAUGUGGAGGAAUACCGAUGGCGAAGGCAGCCCCCUGGGCCAAUACUGACGCUCAUGCACGAAAGCGUGGGGAGCAAACAGGAUUAGAUACCCUGGUAGUCCACGCCCUAAACGAUGUCAACUAGUUGUUGGGGAUUCAUUUCCUUAGUAACGUAGCUAACGCGUGAAGUUGACCGCCUGGGGAGUACGGUCGCAAGAUUAAAACUUAAAUGAAUUGAC